Molecule: ribosomal RNA, 486 nt
Filed under: Marine Group III euryarchaeote CG-Bathy1
Lineage: Archaea; Methanobacteriati; Thermoplasmatota; Thermoplasmata; Candidatus Thermoprofundales
Description: bacterial SSU rRNA
Rfam family: Archaeal small subunit ribosomal RNA
Source: RNAcentral
AAUUUCGGUUGAUCCUGCCGAAGGAUACUGCUAUUGGAUUACGAUUAAGCCAUGCGAGUCUAAAGGUCUUCGGACCUUGGCAAACUGCUCAGUAACACGUGGAUAAUCUACCCUCAAGUAAGGAAUAAUCCCGGGAAACUGGGGCUAAUACCUUAUAGGAACAGGUUGCUGGAAUGCUCCUGAUCUCAAAGCUCCGGCGCCUGAGGAUGAGUCUGCUUCCUAUCAGGUUGUAGUCAGGGUAAUGGCCUGACUAGCCAGCGACGGGUACGGGGUGUGAGAGCACUUGCCCGGAGAUGGUUUCUGAGACACGAAACCAGGCCCUACGGGGCGCAGCAGGCGCGAAAACUUCGCAAUGCGGGAAACCGUGACGAGGGAACUCCAAGUGUCUAUGCAAUGCAUAGACUGUUUUUCAGCCUAAAUAGCUGUUAGAGUAAGAGGUGGGCAAGACCGGUGCCAGCCGCCGCGGUAACACCGGCACCUCAAGUG